Non-coding RNA from Achaetomium macrosporum, 96 nucleotides. The record is from the annotation of a GenBank genome assembly. NCBI's taxonomy places the organism in Eukaryota, Fungi, Ascomycota, Sordariomycetes, Sordariales, Chaetomiaceae.
GGGAGCUUGGCACAGUUGGUUGAGUGCGUACGUCUCAUGGCAGAUCUCUUGGAUCGAGGCAUCGUAAGGUCGUGAGUUUAAUUCUCACAGUUCCCA